CUCCUCAGUGUUCGCGUGCCUGCAACCUAUGUGGUUGGUCUGAGAUCAGGUUGCUUUUGUCCAGAUGACCAGAUGCUUGCAGAAGAACACAAGAAAAUAUGUGUGUCUGAAUGCACAACAUGUAAAGGGCCAUUGGGUGAGCCCAUGCCGGUGGGGGCAGUAUGGGAAUCAAACUGUCAUAUAUGCACAUGUAAUAACCAGACUAGAACUGAAGAGUGCAUACCCAAACCUCGAGAUCCCACUCCAGUCUGCAGUGUCUACUCCAGUCUGGUCUCUGAUUGCUGUGACAAUCAGAUCUGCGGUAAUGUUGCUAUCUUCCCACAGAAUAACAUAGUGUAGAGUGCCACUGGUGCCACUGGUGCAUAUUCUUUUUAAUUGAUU
RNAcentral lists this long non-coding RNA (381 nucleotides) under Sinocyclocheilus grahami. RNAcentral describes it as "lncRNA (ENSSGRG00000016684.1)". The record is from RNAcentral. Lineage: Eukaryota; Metazoa; Chordata; Actinopteri; Cypriniformes; Cyprinidae.